Molecule: transfer RNA, 72 nt
Filed under: Hyphomicrobiales bacterium
Lineage: Bacteria; Pseudomonadati; Pseudomonadota; Alphaproteobacteria; Hyphomicrobiales
Description: Rhizobiales bacterium tRNA-Ser
Source: RNAcentral
GACAGAAAAUGAGUUGCGACAACCAGCCUUCUAAGCUGUUGGUCGGAGGUUCGAGUCCUCCCGGGGUCGCCA